This 876-nucleotide ribosomal RNA is filed under the name uncultured bacterium. Its description in RNAcentral is "bacterial SSU rRNA". It matches the Rfam family "Bacterial small subunit ribosomal RNA", at positions 51 to 925 of the family's 1533-position model. The record is from RNAcentral.
ACACAUGCAGUCGAGCGGAGAUGAGGUGCUUGCACCUUAUCUUAGCGGCGGACGGGUGAGUAAUGCUUAGGAAUCUGCCUAUUAGUGGGGGACAACAUUCCGAAAGGAAUGCUAAUACCGCAUACGUCCUACGGGAGAAAGCAGGGGAUCUUCGGACCUUGCGCUAAUAGAUGAGCCUAAGUCGGAUUAGCCAGUUGGUGGGGUAAAGGCCUACCAAGGCGACGAUCUGUAGCGGGUCUGAGAGGAUGAUCCGCCACACUGGGACUGAGACACGGCCCAGACUCCUACGGGAGGCAGCAGUGGGGAAUAUUGGACAAUGGGGGGAACCCUGAUCCAGCCAUGCCGCGUGUGUGAAGAAGGCCUUAUGGUUGUAAAGCACUUUAAGCGAGGAGGAGGCUACUGAGACUAAUACUCUUGGAUAGUGGACGUUACUCGCAGAAUAAGCACCGGCUAACUCUGUGCCAGCAGCCGCGGUAAUACAGAGGGUGCGAGCGUUAAUCGGAUUUACUGGGCGUAAAGCGUGCGUAGGCGGCUUUUUAAGUCGGAUGUGAAAUCCCCGAGCUUAACUUGGGAAUUGCAUUCGAUACUGGGAAGCUAGAGUAUGGGAGAGGAUGGUAGAAUUCCAGGUGUAGCGGUGAAAUGCGUAGAGAUCUGGAGGAAUACCGAUGGCGAAAGCAGCCAUCUGGCCUAAUACUGACGCUGAGGUAUGAAAGCAUGGGGAGCAAACAGGAUUAGAUACCCUGGUAGUCCAUGCCGUAAACGAUGUCUACUAGCCGUUGGGGCCUUUGAGGCUUUAGUGGCGCAGCUAACGCGAUAAGUAGACGCCUGGGGAGUACGGUCGCAGACUAAAACUCAAUGAAUUGACGGGGCCGCACA